RNAcentral lists this long non-coding RNA (5472 nucleotides) under Sus scrofa (pig). Its description in RNAcentral is "lncRNA (ENSSSCG00000058956.1)". The record is from RNAcentral. Lineage: Eukaryota; Metazoa; Chordata; Mammalia; Artiodactyla; Suidae.
CAACGUGUCUACACCUACCAUCUGCGUUUUAGAAAGUAAACACCUAUAUUUGGUAUAGGUUUAGUGUAGCUUUGGAAGAAUACAAAAGAUACAGGUCUCCUCUCUUUCUUCCUCCCUCCUAUCCUCCUUCCCUCCCUUUUUUCUGUCCCUUCCUUCCUUCCACCAUUUUUUUUUUUUUUUUUUUAAUGGCUGCAUCCAUGGCAUGUGGAAGUUCCUGGGCCAGGGAUCAAAUCUGAGCCAUAACUGUGGUAAGGCCCGAUUCUUCAUUUUAUUUUGUUUUUUUCAAGUACUUUAAUUCUUAGUUUUAUUUUAAUUAAAAAUUUUUUUAUUAAAGUAUAGUUGACUUAGCAAUGCUGUGCCAGUUUCUGCUGUACAGCAGAGUGACCCAGUUAUACAUAUAUAUACAUUCCCCUUCUUAUGUCAUCUUCCAUCAUGAUCUUUUACCCACUGUGCCAGCCCAAGGAUCAAACCCAUGCCUCCAUAGGGACCUGAGCCCCCUGCAGUCAGGUUCUUAACCACUGUGCCACAGCGGGAACUCUUCUUCCUUUUUACAAAAUAGGAAUAAUUUAAUUUUUUCUAAUUAUAAAAGUAAUAUUUGUUCCUCAUUUUAAAAAAAAAGAAUCUGAAAAAUACAGAAAGGUUAAAAAGAGAGUGAACCACUUUCAGUCUUAGCACUCAGAAAAAGCAAGGGUUGGAGUUCCCGUCAUGGCACAGUGGUUAACAAAUCUGACUAGGAACCAUGAGGUUGCAGGUUCGAUCCCUGCCCUUGCUCAGUGGGUUAAGGAUCUGGCAUUGCCACGAGCUGUGGUGUAGGUCGCAGAUGCUGCUUGGAUCCCAAGUUGCUGUGGCUCUGGCUCCGAUUCGACCCCUAGCCUGGGAACCUCCAUAGGCUGCGGGAAGUGGCCCUAGAAAAAGCAAAAAGAAAAAAGAAAAAGCAAGGGUUAACACUUUGGUGUAUAUUCUUUUAGAUGGUUUUUCUUGAUAUGCUUUUUGAAAUGGUAUCCUACCUUGCACCCUAUGUUAAAUCUGAUUUUCCUCACUCAACUGCAUCCCUUUCCUCCUAUUGGAGUGGUCAAAAUUUGUAUCGCUUUCUAAGAGAAGUGUGUGUUAAGGACAUUUUUCCUAGUAUGGAUUUUUAAUUUGUAUAAAGUCUACAACUUUUUAUUUUGGAAAUAUCACACAUAUAUAAAAGAAGGCAAGAUGGUGUCUUCUGUCUAUCCAUUACCCAGCUUCAGCUGUUACCAAAAUAUAGCCAAUUUUGUUUAAUCUAUAUCCCUCCCAGCUUCUUUCUAUUAUUUUGAAGCCAAUCCCAGAUAUCAUAUAAUUUUAUCUGAAAAUAUUUUGACAAUAUAGUGUCUUUGACAUAUGGAAAAUUUCAAUGUUUCAGUAAAUCAAAUCAAAUUAGAAGAAAACAGUCUUUAUGAAAUCCCAGCAUGAUUUCUUAAACAGCAUAUUCUUCCCCCACUGACUCGAAAUGCCAGUUGGAUUUUCUCUUCUGUUCCUUUGAUCUGUCUGUUUAUUCUGACAUCCGUACCUUCCUGCUGCAAUUACUAUAGGCUUAAAAUAUAUUUGUUCAUAUUUGAUCCAACGAGCAUCAGGGGAGGCUCUAAUUCAGUCUCCCCCCACCAAUUUUCUUGCGCAUUUCUUCACAUUUAUUCAUCCAGAUUAAUGUCAGAUUUAUUUUAUCAGCUUCAACUCAAAAACUCAAUUGAGAUUUUGAUUGCACUUACGAGAAAUGUAUAGAUGAAUUUGGGGAAGAUUGACGUAUUUAUAAUAUCAAGCCUUCUUAUCUUAAAGCCAAGUAUGGCCCUCUUUUUACGUGAGUUGUUCAGUAAAGUGUGAGAGCUUUUCUUUAUGAGGUCCUGCACUCUUCUUGUUAAGAUUUUUUCCCCUGAUAUUUUGUAUUUUGGUUGCUAUUAUGACUGCAACCCUUUUUUUCCCCUCUUGUAUUUCCUAGCUGGUUGUUACUAUUAUAUAGAAAAUCUGAUAAAUUUUUCUAUAUUUCUUUUGUAACUACUUGCCGUAAUAAGCUUAUUAAUGAUAAUAAUUUUCACUUGAUCCUUUUAUUUUUCUAUGAACUUUUUAUCAAGUUUUUGACUCUCCCUUUAUUUUUUUUUUAUUAUUAUUAUUCUAAUGGCUGCACCCAUGGCAUAUGGUGUUCUUUGGCCAGGGAUUGAAUCCCAGCUGCAACUGCAGCCUACUCUCAGCUUGCAGCAAUGCCAGAUACUUAACCCACUAGUGAGGCCAGGGAUUGAACCCGCGUCCUCACAGAGACAACAUCUGGUCCUUAAGCUGCUGAGCCACAAUUGGAACUCAGUAAGGGGCCUUUUAAAAAUAUAUACCAUAUUUCAUCAAAUGCCUUUUUAGCCUCUAUCAAAUAAUCAUAUUAAUUUUCUCCUUUAACCUAUUUCUGAGAUAAGUUGCAUUGAUGGAUUUGUUAAGGUCGAAAAUCUUCCAAUUCCUGGAAUAAGUUCACUCUGUCAUUUAUACUAUUAUAUUUGUUACUCUUAUGCUGGAUUCUAUUUGUAAUAUAUAUUUUUUUCCCAUUAAUGUUGGCAUAGGAGACUCCAAAUCACUCUUUCAAAAUGCUUAGCUGAGAAGGGGAGGAAGAGAGAAUGAAGCUGUAGAACUCAGAAGGAAGGAAGUAUGUGUUCCGAGCCUCUGAAUAGGUUUGGGGGGACGUGGCCGGGGGAGAGGGAACUCUUGAGGCUGCAAGAGAAAGAGGAACUAGAACCAGAGCCGACGGAGAGAGCAGACAGUUUGUACCGGCGCGCCAGGGGCCAGGUGGCCCUGAGCAGGAGGAGUGGCAGUCUGUGUUGAGACAGGAGAGCAGGAGCCCAGGGUGGGUGACAGAGGCGGUCCCAGUUGUCAUGGGGUCAAGGAAGCAUGGUUGUCCUCCAGGGUUGGAGGGUGAGGGCUGGAGGCACAGGGUGGAAGCUGAGCACAGCUCCUGAGAGAAACAGGGCAAAACGAAGGAUCGCUCUGGAUGCUGGGGGCCCGGCUGAGGUUAGAGAGCUUGACUUUGGAGGGGCUUCAGUUUGCAAGAUGAUGGAAUUAUUCUUCCUCGGAGCAGUGUGGGAGUGGAAGGGGACUGCAAGGUCCAUACGAGGUUGGGUUCUCUCACCCGCAGCACAUGGAGGUUCCCAGGCUAGGGGUCGAAUCAGAGAUGUAGCCACCAGCCUACGGCCUACGCCAGAGCCACAGCAACGUGGGAUCCAAGCCGUGCCUGUGACCCACACCACAGCUCACGGCAAGGCCGGAUCCUUAACCCACUGAGCAAGGCCAGGGAUCGAACCCACAACCUCAUGGUUCCUAGUCAGGUUUGUUAACCACGGAGCCACAGCGGGAAUGCCCCGAGGUUGGGAGGUCUGCUGGGUGACUGAGGAAGGCAGCUGGUGGGGCCAUGGAGCCGAGCAGCCUCCACAGGUUGGCAGGGGAUUGUCAGGCGCUAGGAGGACACACGCGGCGCGGCAGGCCUCUCCACGGGAUGGCUAGCCUAGGUUGUCUUUUUUAAAAUUUCCACCUUGAGGCAAAAUUUUCCAUUUUUGCCCUGUCACAAAACACACAGAAUGCACCAUGGCUUAAGCCAGAUAACUUAUGUAACUGAUUUCAUGCUCUGCCACGUUUCUGACAGUUACAGAACGUCGGUGCAGUUGGGACAUUGUGUUGGGACCACAGGACAUGUGUUGUACUUCCGGGGGCGGGCGGAUGCUGAGACUGGGAAGUGGUUCAGGUGGUCUAGAAGAAAGGCCUCGGUGGGGACAGGGCAGCUGGGAGCCGGCCAAGGGUGUGAGUCCCUGAGGUGACAGACCUGGAGAGUGGCCCCGGGCCUUGAGGCCGAGCUGUGGAACGCGCCUCCUACAAGGAUCUUGAGGUUCCCCCCCCACAUGAGGGAGCAGCUGGCCUGGGUCUCAGUGAGUGUGGGGGGGUGUCCAGGGAGUUGGGGGGUGAACAACACCGAGGAAGAGAGGCGGGUGUGACUGGAAGGCAGACCCUGCAGAGCAAGAGCGGGGGCGUUGGGAACAUGGCACCCUGACUCACCCCGGGCCCUGCGGUUGAGCCCGGGAGGCCCUCGGAGGGGAAGGAGGCCGCCCAGAGAGGGGAGCGACCCACGCAAGACCAUCCCCCACCCCCACCCACACCCACCCAGCUCGUAAGCCGCAGACCUGGGGUACACAGCAGGGUCUGUGGCUCCCUACGGGUCGGCAGGCAGGUACCGCCCCCCACUCCUGCAAGAACCCAUCAGAGCUGAGCCCAGGGCCUCCACCAGCCCCCCGAGGGUGGCCUCUGGGUGGCUCGGUUAAAUGUCCAGCCCUGAAUGUGCCCGUGCAGAUGGGGAGCACAGGGAGAGAGCAUCCUUCUAGGACCCAGGCGCUCUGCCUCAGUAUGGCCCAGCCGGUCUCCUUUCCUGGCAGGUUCUUUGGGGGCUGCCCCUGCCCCUCCCGGAUGGAAGAGGUGCCCUGAGUGUGGGGUUUGGCUCUGGAUGGACCGCGUUCACAUUUGACUGGAGCUCUUGCCAGCUCUGGAAGCUUGGGCAAGCAGCCACCUUCGUUUCAGACCUACCUGCAGAAAGAAGAUGGAAGAUUUAAUCUAGAAUCUGUAUUUCCCUCCCCUUGACCCAUAAACUUCUAAAUAAUAAAAUAAAAUACCUCGGGCUGUUGCCUUCCAGCUUUCCCCCUCCCCUGCCCCUCGUCAGGUGCUGAGGGCUCUGCUGGUUCCUCUGCCUGAAGCUGCUCCCAGACUGAGGGACUGAGGCAGGCCGCCGGGCUGCUAAGAGUGGGGGCUGGUCGUGGGGGUGCUCACCCUCCCGCCCCUCCUGCUCCCCCGCCCCACAUCACACUCUCCUAGCCGGACACCCCCCCAUCACCAGCCUUCCUCAGCUCUCUAGCCUGAUCCCCUCAUCUCAGCCUCAAGUCGGGGCCCUGCUCUUCAAUCUGUAGCUUCUUAGAUCUGUAGGUGGGUGUUUUUCACCAAACUUGGGGAAUUUUUAGCUUUUAUUUCUGAAAAUAUACUUUUCUGCUCAUUUCUCUCCCUCCUUUCCUUCUGAUUCUUUUUAUGUUAAAUUAUCUGACCUCAUCCGCCCAUGGGUCAGUGAGUCUCUGUUCCCUUUUUAAAAUUGUUUUUCUCUCUGGUCUUCGAUGGGAUAAUUUCAUUUGAUCUACGUUCAAGUCCAACAGCCCUUUCUUCUAUAGACUGCAAGCUGCUGUUUUAAGUUUACCCAGCGGAUUUUUAAUUUUAGGUCUUGUAGCUUUCAGUCCUAAAAUUUCCAUUUGGAUCUCUGUUUAUAGUUUCAUUUUCUGCUGAAAUUUCUACAUCUGUUCACUCAUUAUAAGUAUCUUUUCCUUUUAAAUGCCCGAACAUAUUUGUGACAGUUAUUUAAAAGGUCCUAUCUAAUAAUUCUAACAUCUCUAUUAUUCCAAGACCUGCUUGUAUGGGGUCUAUUUUUUUUUCUUUCAUCUUUAUUUUUCUUUU